RNAcentral lists this ribosomal RNA (722 nucleotides) under uncultured Actinomycetes bacterium. Its description in RNAcentral is "bacterial SSU rRNA". It matches the Rfam family "Bacterial small subunit ribosomal RNA", at positions 60 to 804 of the family's 1533-position model. Lineage: Bacteria; Bacillati; Actinomycetota; Actinomycetes. The record is from RNAcentral.
AGUCGAGCGGAAGGCCCUUCGGGGUACUCGAGCGGCGAACGGGUGAGUAACACGUGAGCAACCUGCCCCUGGCUCUGGGAUAGCCUCCGGAAACGGGGAUUAAUACCGGACAUUCACUCUUCUGGGCAUCCUAGAGGGUGGAAAGUUUUUCGGCCGGGGAGGGGCUCGCGGCCUAUCAGCUUGUUGGCGGGGUAACGGCCCACCAAGGCGACGACGGGUAGCCGGCCUGAGAGGGCGACCGGCCACACUGGGACUGAGACACGGCCCAGACUCCUACGGGAGGCAGCAGUGGGGAAUAUUGCGCAAUGGGCGGAAGCCUGACGCAGCGACGCCGCGUGGGGGAUGAAGGCCUUCGGGUUGUAAACCUCUUUCACCAGGAGCGAAUCCAGACGGUACCUGGGGAAGAAGCGCCGGCUAACUACGUGCCAGCAGCCGCGGUAAUACGUAGGGCGCAAGCGUUGUCCGGAAUUAUUGGGCGUAAAGAGCUCGUAGGCGGCCUGUCGCGUCCGCUGUGAAAUCCUGGGGCUUAACCCCGGGCGUGCAGUGGAUACGGGCUGGCUAGAGGCAGGCAGGGGAGAACGGAAUUCCCGGUGUAGCGGUGAAAUGCGCAGAUAUCGGGAGGAACACCGGUGGCGAAGGCGGUUCUCUGGGCCUGUUCUGACGCUGAGGAGCGAAAGCGUGGGGAGCGAACAGGAUUAGAUACCCUGGUAGUCCACGCCGUA